This 76-nucleotide transfer RNA is filed under the name Candidatus Peregrinibacteria bacterium. RNAcentral's name for it is "tRNA-Met". It matches the Rfam family "tRNA". From Rfam's summary of the family: Transfer RNA (tRNA) molecules are approximately 80 nucleotides in length. Their secondary structure includes four short double-helical elements and three loops (D, anti-codon, and T loops). Lineage: Bacteria; Candidatus Peregrinibacteriota. The record is from RNAcentral.
GCCACGGUAGCUCAGUUGGCAGAGCACAGGACUCAUAAGCCUGGGGUCGUCGGUUCAAUCCCGACCCGUGGCACCA